GACGAACGCUGGCGGCGUGCUUAACACAUGCAAGUCGAACGGCAAGGCCCUGCUUUUGUGGGGUGCUCGAGUGGCGAACGGGUGAGUAACACGUGAGUAACCUGCCCUUGACUUUGGGAUAACUUCAGGAAACUGGGGCUACUACCGGAUAGGAGCUCCUGCUGCAUGGUGGGGGUUGGAUAGUUUCGGCGGUUGGGGAUGGACUCGCGGCUUAUCAGCUUGUUGGUGGGGUAGUGGCUUACCAAGGCUUUGACGGGUAGCCGGCCUGAGAGGGUGACCGGCGACAUGGGGACUGAGAGACGGCCCAGACUCCUACGGAAGGCAGCAGUGGGGAAUAUUGCCCAAUGGGCGGAAGCCGGAGGCAGCAACGCCGCGUGCGGGAUGACGGCCUUCGGGGUGUAAACCGCUUUCGCCUGUGACGAAGCGUGAGUGACGGUAAUGGGUAAAGAAGCACCGGCUAACUACGUG
RNAcentral lists this ribosomal RNA (468 nucleotides) under uncultured bacterium. RNAcentral's name for it is "partial 16S ribosomal RNA". It matches the Rfam family "Bacterial small subunit ribosomal RNA", at positions 28 to 507 of the family's 1533-position model. The record is from RNAcentral.